This 372-nucleotide ribosomal RNA is filed under the name uncultured organism. RNAcentral's name for it is "bacterial SSU rRNA". It matches the Rfam family "Bacterial small subunit ribosomal RNA", at positions 526 to 896 of the family's 1533-position model. The record is from RNAcentral.
CGAACCGUGCAAACGUUAUUCGGAAUCACUGGGCUUAAAGCGUGCGUAGGCGGCUAAGAAAGUUGGGUGUGAAAUCCCUCGGCUCAACCGAGGAAUUGCGCUCAAAACUACUUAGCUUGAGGGAGUUAGAGGUGAGCGGAACUAAUGGUGGAGCGGUGAAAUGCGUUGAUAUCAUUAGGAACACCGGUGGCGAAAGCGGCUCACUGGGACUCUUCUGACGCUGAGGCACGAAAGCUAGGGGAGCGAACGGGAUUAGAUACCCCGGUAGUCCUAGCUGUAAACGAUGAGCACUGGGUCGGAGAACCCUCCACAGUUUUCCGGCCGUAGCGAAAGUGUUAAGUGCUCCGCCUAGGGAGUAUGGUCGCAAGGCUG